Molecule: ribosomal RNA, 253 nt
Filed under: uncultured bacterium
Lineage: Bacteria
Description: partial 16S ribosomal RNA
Rfam family: Bacterial small subunit ribosomal RNA
Source: RNAcentral
UACGGAGGGUGCAAGCGUUAUCCGGAUUUACUGGGUUUAAAGGGUGCGUAGGUGGAUAAUUAAGUCAGUGGUGAAAUCUUCAGGCUUAACCUGGAAACUGCCAUUGAUACUAUUUGUCUUGAAUACUUUGGAGGUAAGCGGAAUAUGUCAUGUAGCGGUGAAAUGCUUAGAUAUGACAUAGAACACCAAUUGCGAAGGCAGCUUACUACACAGUAAUUGACACUGAGGCACGAAAGCGUGGGGAUCAAACAGG